RNAcentral lists this long non-coding RNA (203 nucleotides) under Manihot esculenta (cassava). RNAcentral describes it as "long non-coding RNA (MESC_LNC012640)". The record is from RNAcentral. Lineage: Eukaryota; Viridiplantae; Streptophyta; Magnoliopsida; Malpighiales; Euphorbiaceae.
GUCAUAAGCUAUCUAUGUAUGCUUUGGAUGUUGUUUUUGGAGUUUAAUCUAGUUGUUAAGCUCCUUUAUGCAUGGUUAAGGGUUAAUGCUUGGUUUUGAGAAGUUUAUGCAUGUUUUAAGAGGUUGGAUGCUUGUUUUGGGGGGUUGGGAGGCUUGUAUGCACAAGGGCUGAGUUCUGGAAGAACUCAGGUUCGGCCGCCGAA